UCAGAACCCAGUGAAAUCUCUGUUCAGGA
Molecule: non-coding RNA, 29 nt
Filed under: Rattus norvegicus (Norway rat)
Lineage: Eukaryota; Metazoa; Chordata; Mammalia; Rodentia; Muridae
Source: RNAcentral